AUUCCACUUUUCAAAAUGAAGGGCCUGCUCCUGUUCCUGUCCCUAGUGAAAAUGAGCCUCGCCGUGCCGGCAUUUCCUCAACAACCUGGGGCUCAAGGCAUGGCACCUCCUGGCAUGGCUAGUUUGAGCCUUGAGACAAUGAGACAGUUGGGAAGCUUGCAGGGGCUCAACGCACUUUCUCAGUAUUCUAGACUUGGCUUUGGAAAAGCACUUAAUAGUUUAUGGUUGCAUGGACUCCUCCCACCGCAUAAUUCUUUCCCAUGGAUAGGACCAAGGGAACAUGAAACCCAACAGCCAUCCUUGCAGCCUCACCAGCCAGGACUGAAACCCUUCCUCCAGCCCACUGCUGCAACCGGUGUCCAGGUCACACCCCAGAA
This 377-nucleotide long non-coding RNA is filed under the name Rattus norvegicus (Norway rat). RNAcentral's name for it is "long non-coding RNA NONRATT009805". The record is from RNAcentral. Lineage: Eukaryota; Metazoa; Chordata; Mammalia; Rodentia; Muridae.